This 615-nucleotide ribosomal RNA is filed under the name uncultured bacterium. RNAcentral's name for it is "bacterial SSU rRNA". It matches the Rfam family "Bacterial small subunit ribosomal RNA", at positions 352 to 960 of the family's 1533-position model. The record is from RNAcentral.
CAGUGGGGAAUUUUGGACAAUGGGCGAAAGCCUGAUCCAGCAAUGCCGCGUGAGUGAAGAAGGCCUUCGGGUUGUAAAGCUCUUUUGUCAGGGAAGAAACGGUGUGGGCUAAUAUCCUGCACUAAUGACGGUACCUGAAGAAUAAGCACCGGCUAACUACGUGCCAGCAGCCGCGGUAAUACGUAGGGUGCAAGCGUUAAUCGGAAUUACUGGGCGUAAAGCGUGCGCAGGCGGUUUUGUAAGUCUGAUGUGAAAUCCCCGGGCUCAACCUGGGAAUUGCAUUGGAGACUGCAAGGCUAGAAUCUGGCAGAGGGGGGUAGAAUUCCACGUGUAGCAGUGAAAUGCGUAGAGAUGUGGAGGAACACCGAUGGCGAAGGCAGCCCCCUGGGUCAAGAUUGACGCUCAUGCACGAAAGCGUGGGGAGCAAACAGGAUUAGAUACCCUGGUAGUCCACGCCCUAAACGAUGUCUACUAGUUGUCGGGUUUUAAUUAACUUGGUAACGCAGCUAACGCGUGAAGUAGACCGCCUGGGGAGUACGGUCGCAAGAUUAAAACUCAAAGGAAUUGACGGGGACCCGCACAAGCGGUGGAUGAUGUGGAUUAAUUCGAUGCAAC